This 826-nucleotide long non-coding RNA is filed under the name Erythranthe guttata (spotted monkey flower). RNAcentral's name for it is "long non-coding RNA (EGUT_LNC000087)". The record is from RNAcentral. Lineage: Eukaryota; Viridiplantae; Streptophyta; Magnoliopsida; Lamiales; Phrymaceae.
CUCACUUCAUUCUCUCUCGUGACAAAUUUUCAACAACAAGCUUGCCCCGCCUUCUUCUUCUUCUUCUUCUUGCUUUUCCAGCGGCAAAAUCAGACGUUCUUGUUCCGAUGCUGCGACAAAAUCUUUUCCCUUUUUUCUUGAUCAAUUCACUUCAAAGCCACGACAUUUUAUCGAUUAAUUAGAUGUUCCUCGACCCUGGUAACAAUGAAAUGGUGUGGUCCAGUUCUCCCGCAGAUGAGGUGGUACUACGCAAUUGACAGUGUUUUUUGGUUGUUUUUCGCCCGACAAUGUUAGUAUUUUUUUAGGGGCUGGUGGGUCACGAUCUAGGAUUUGGUGGCAUUGUGUUUUGGUGGCGACGCUAGAUUUCACCCGACGAGGCUAGAUUUUGGUAUUGCUUUGCAGGCCCAAAAGGGAGGUAUUGAAGGAGAUUUAUAAUUUGUAGUUGUUUUGACUGUAUGAAAACAAUGACAAAUGAACGCUUUGGAGUUUUUGUAGUCGUUUGGUUAAAUUUUAUACUCAUUUUCAUAGUCGAUUCCAGGCAUAGUAUAUAUACAGAGAUCCAAACCGUCGGAUUUUGUGUGGAUAAAAACUUGACAUUGAAGAUUAAUGUGGUUCAAGCCCAUAUUGGGUUCAGUUUUUUCCGAAUGUAGUUGAUUUUUACUUUUCUUGUUGUUCAAAUACAGUUGUUUCGCUGUAGCCGAUUACGAUAAUUUGUAGUUGAUUUCGGUGAUUUUAGAGUUGAUUUCGGUGAUUUUGUAGUUGAUUAUGAUUUUUUUUUUUGUAGCAGUUUUCAAGAAUAUUGUAGUUGAUUUUGUUAAUAUUGUAG